Molecule: non-coding RNA, 704 nt
Organism: Rattus norvegicus (Norway rat)
Lineage: Eukaryota; Metazoa; Chordata; Mammalia; Rodentia; Muridae
Source: RefSeq, a predicted model, not a curated record
UCUACAUUCUAGAAUGUGGAGGGAACUUAGGCUGUGCUAUUUCCUCUUCAAACACCCCCUAGCACGUUCUCAUCCUCCUGAUUCCGUUCUCCCUGAUCAACUCUUGUCUUCACACUUGCGUGCAGGAGUCCCAUAGAAAGGGGCUAAACCAACAUGGCAGUAAGAUGACUCCCAAUGAAAUUCUGCUCUACUCACAGAUCUGUACCUCACGCAACCCUUAUCAGAGAAGCUUCUGCAGUAGAGAGUAAUUAACAUAGACACCCACAACUGGAAAAUUGACAGAGAGUGAAAGACUUUGGAGCACCCAAUCCUGAAUGGGAUGGCUUCAUCAAAACCUCAAGGAUCACAUUCGAUGCAGAAGAGGAGGUUGUGUGAUCAGUGCAUUAUCUCAACAACAGAUAACCAGAUUGGACCAGCCACUGUGUACAGAUUUGUGAGUCUGUGAAAACCCAGUCAAGACAAGGUCUGAGAUGACUACGUACACAGGCAAGCAUAUGUGUGAGGUACAGGUGAUUGUAAGCUGCCAUCUGGAUACAGGACACUGAUCUCAGUUCCUCUGCAAAAGCAACAAGUGUCCUUAAUGGCUACCCCAUCCCUCCAGCCCUUUAUUGAGUAUUUAAAAUCAAAUAUUACAUUCAAAUGAGUUCCUAAAAUUCUGAUGAUGUAAAUUUCAUUGUCUAAUAAAUUUUGCCAUCUCCUUAAAA